Molecule: transfer RNA, 95 nt
Filed under: Apophysomyces ossiformis
Lineage: Eukaryota; Fungi; Mucoromycota; Mucoromycetes; Mucorales; Mucoraceae
Rfam family: tRNA
About the family: Transfer RNA (tRNA) molecules are approximately 80 nucleotides in length.
Source: Rfam by way of RNAcentral
GCUCCUAUGGCGUAAUAGGCUAGCGCGCCGUGCUUAUAGUUACAAGCUAUACUAGAGUCACGCGGAGGUUGCGAGUUCGAUCCUCGCUAGGAGCA